RNAcentral lists this ribosomal RNA (48 nucleotides) under Chroogomphus rutilus. Its description in RNAcentral is "partial 18S ribosomal RNA". The record is from RNAcentral. Lineage: Eukaryota; Fungi; Basidiomycota; Agaricomycetes; Boletales; Gomphidiaceae. RNAcentral also lists the same sequence under 3 other names.
UAGAGGAAGUAAAAGUCGUAACAAGGUUUCCGUAGGUGAACCUGCGGA